RNAcentral lists this microRNA precursor (88 nucleotides) under Otolemur garnettii (small-eared galago). Its description in RNAcentral is "miRNA (ENSOGAG00000034446.1)". Lineage: Eukaryota; Metazoa; Chordata; Mammalia; Primates; Galagidae. The record is from RNAcentral.
CACCUGCUUUUCAGGUGUGGAAACUGAGGCACAGCAGCAUGGAAUCACUUCCCCAGUGUCACACAGCUGGCUAGUGAGUAGAAUUUGA